GUGCGAGUGUUUUUAUGAUCUGACAAGAAUUUAUAUUCAGUUGUAUUUACAAUUAUGAAAAUAUUAUUGUGCACAGAAAAUGUAUAGUUUUAUUAAGUGUAGUGAGUUGCGUUAAUGAUAUUUAUAAAAAAUACUUAUAAAAAAAAUAUAUAUGAGAAUGGUGAUUAACCUAAAUAACAAGAUUAAUAUGUAACUGUGUUACAACUCCGCUGCUGCGCAUCGCGAACCGAAAACUGGGUGUGAAACAUUCUCAAAUAUCUUAUUUUCAAGAUAUUUUCAAUAAUUGUGGUCAUCAUACGUGUGUACGUAUACAUAUCUUAUACUGAAUUAGACUGAACUGUUAGUUUGUAUGAGACAUUGAUUAUGUAAUAUGUUUUAAAAUAUAUAUUUUAAAAAA
Long non-coding RNA from Solenopsis invicta (red fire ant), 397 nucleotides. RefSeq lists it as uncharacterized. The record is from RefSeq and is a predicted model, not a curated record. NCBI's taxonomy places the organism in Eukaryota, Metazoa, Arthropoda, Insecta, Hymenoptera, Formicidae. The transcript is spliced from 3 exons.